AUCGUGUAUGUACUUGUUUCAAUUUGACGACUAUUUAGACAUUGUUGAGAGCUUGAUAAAGUCUUAAGAAUAAAGACGAAACGUU
This is a long non-coding RNA of Cotesia glomerata, 85 nucleotides long. RefSeq lists it as uncharacterized. The transcript is spliced from 2 exons. The record is from RefSeq and is a predicted model, not a curated record. Lineage: Eukaryota; Metazoa; Arthropoda; Insecta; Hymenoptera; Braconidae.